Molecule: ribosomal RNA, 253 nt
Filed under: uncultured bacterium
Lineage: Bacteria
Description: partial 16S ribosomal RNA
Rfam family: Bacterial small subunit ribosomal RNA
Source: RNAcentral
UACGAGGGGGGCGAGCGUUGUUCGGAAUUAUUGGGCGUAAAGGGUGCGUAGGCGGUUUGGUAAGUCUUAUGUGAAAUCUACAGGCUCAACUUGUAGUCUGCAUGAGAAACUGCCGGGCUGGAGCACUGUAGAGGCGGGUGGAAUUCCGGGUGUAGCGGUGGAAUGCGUAGAUAUCGGAAGGAACACCAGUGGCGAAAGCGGCUUCCUGGUCCGACACCGACGUUCAGGCACGAAAGCGUGGGGAGCAAACAGG